GACGAACGCUGGCGGCGUGCUUAACACAUGCAAGUCGAACGGAAAGGCCCUGCUUUUGUGGGGUGCUCGAGUGGCGAACGGGUGAGUAACACGUGAGUAACCUGCCCUUGACUUUGGGAUAACUUCAGGAAACUGGGGCUAAUACCGGAUAGGAGCUCCUGCUGCAUGGUGGGGGUUGGAAAGUUUCGGCGGUUGGGGAUGGACUCGCGGCUUAUCAGCUUGUUGGUGGGGUAGUGGCUUACCAAGGCUUUGACGGGUAGCCGGCCUGAGGGGGUGACCGGCAACAUUGGGACUGAGAUACGGCCCAGACUCCUAGGGGAGGCAGCAGUGGGGAAUAUUGCACAAUGGGCGGAAGCCUGAUGCGGCAACGCCGCGUGCGGGAUGACGGCCUUCGGGUUGUAAACCGCUUUCGCCUGUGACGAAGCGUGAGUGACGGUAAUGGGUAAAGAAGCACCGGCUAACUACGUG
RNAcentral lists this ribosomal RNA (468 nucleotides) under uncultured bacterium. RNAcentral describes it as "partial 16S ribosomal RNA". It matches the Rfam family "Bacterial small subunit ribosomal RNA", at positions 28 to 507 of the family's 1533-position model. The record is from RNAcentral.